CCUACGGGAGGCAGCAGUGGGGAAUAUUGGACAAUGGGGGGAACCCUGAUCCAGCCAUGCCGCGUGUGUGAAGAAGGCCCUCGGGUUGUAAAGCACUUUCAGUGAGGAAGAACGCCUGGUGGUUAAUACCCAUCAGGAAAGACAUCACUCACAGAAGAAGCACCGGCUAACUCCGUGCCAGCAGCCGCGGUAAUACGGAGGGUGCGAGCGUUAAUCGGAAUUACUGGGCGUAAAGCGCGCGUAGGUGGCUUGAUAAGCCGGUUGUGAAAGCCCCGGGCUCAACCUGGGAACGGCAUCCGGAACUGUGAAGCUAGAGUGCAGGAGAGGAAGGUAGAAUUCCCGGUGUAGCGGUGAAAUGCGUAGAGAUCGGGAGGAAUACCAGUGGCGAAGGCGGCCUUCUGGACUGACACUGACACUGAGGUGCGAAAGCGUGGGUAGCAAACAGGAUUAGAUACCCCUGUAGUC
RNAcentral lists this ribosomal RNA (465 nucleotides) under Vreelandella stevensii. Its description in RNAcentral is "partial 16S ribosomal RNA". It matches the Rfam family "Bacterial small subunit ribosomal RNA", at positions 338 to 795 of the family's 1533-position model. The record is from RNAcentral. Lineage: Bacteria; Pseudomonadati; Pseudomonadota; Gammaproteobacteria; Oceanospirillales; Halomonadaceae.